UAUAGAACUCAAGUGGUAUGAUUGUUCAGACUGCUGCAGUGCACUGUUCUGGCAGCGCUUUUGCAAAGCACCAUCUACUUCCCGUGGAAGGGAAAGCGUCAUGGCGGCUUCCUGUUCGUCGCGCAAGGUUUUUCAAUACGGACUCUCAACAAACUUUCGCGAUUCUUAUGCGUCGAAUGCAUCCUCCCUCGUGAAAAAUCUUGACUGAAGUGACCGCAUUGAUGAAGACAAACAUCUAUAGCUCCGAACUGUGCUUCGUUUCGUCCAUGGGUUGCAAAGGAAAAAGGGUGUAAAAGGUGGCAAUGAAUCCGCACAUGAAGCUGGCGCACAAGCUAAGCCUCCCCUAAAGAGGUCCACUAAGCAAGCAUUUUAAAUAUUGCUAAUAAAACAUUUUGUUCUGUCUUCAUCUACCUAA
This 415-nucleotide long non-coding RNA is filed under the name Rhipicephalus sanguineus (brown dog tick). RNAcentral's name for it is "uncharacterized LOC119388655". Lineage: Eukaryota; Metazoa; Arthropoda; Arachnida; Ixodida; Ixodidae. The record is from RNAcentral.